RNAcentral lists this ribosomal RNA (253 nucleotides) under uncultured bacterium. Its description in RNAcentral is "partial 16S ribosomal RNA". It matches the Rfam family "Bacterial small subunit ribosomal RNA", at positions 524 to 776 of the family's 1533-position model. The record is from RNAcentral.
GACAGAGGUCCCGAGCGUUAGGCGGAAUCACUGGGCUUAAAGCGUGUGUAGGCGGACUUCUAAGUCCCUUGUGAAAUCCCACGGCUUAACCGUGGAACUGCUUGGUAUACUGGUUGUCUUGGGCCAUCUAGGGGCUACUGGAACAAACGGUGGAGCGGUGAAAUGCGUAGAUAUCGUGUGGAACGCCAAUGGUGAAAACAAGUAGCUGGGGAUGUGCCGACGCUGAGACACGAAAGCCAGGGGAGCGAACGGG